UAUCUGGCUAGGGUAGCUACCGAAAAGCGGCAUCGUCACCGCCUGCCAGAUAUCUCUGACGAAACG
Molecule: small RNA, 66 nt
Filed under: Edwardsiella phage GF-2
Lineage: Duplodnaviria; Heunggongvirae; Uroviricota; Caudoviricetes
Description: int-alpA RNA
Rfam family: int-alpA RNA
About the family: Acidobacteria (1 example), Planctomycetes (1 example), Proteobacteria.
Source: Rfam by way of RNAcentral